GGCAGUGAUGCAUGGGCGCAGCCUGAUGCAGCCAUGCCGCGUGUGUGAAGAAGGCCUUCGGGUUGUAAAGCACUUUCAGUCGUGAGGAAGGGAGUGUAGUUAAUACCUGCAUUAUUUGACGUUAGCGACAGAAGAAGCACCGGCUAACUCCGUGCCAGCAGCCGCGGUAAUACGGAGGGUGCGAGCGUUAAUCGGAAUUACUGGGCGUAAAGCGCAUGCAGGUGGUUUGUUAAGUCAGAUGUGAAAGCCCGGGGCUCAACCUCGGAAUAGCAUUUGAAACUGGCAGACUAGAGUGCUGUAGAGGGGGGUAGAAUUUCAGGUGUAGCGGUGAAAUGCGUAGAGAUCUGAAGGAAUACCGGUGGCGAAGGCGGCCCCCUGGACAGAUACUGACACUCAUAUGCGAAAGCGUGGGGAGCAAACAGGAUUAGAUACCCUGGUAGUCCACGCCGUAAACGAUGUCUACUUGGAGGUUGUGGCCUUGAGCCGUGGCUUUCGGAGCUAACGCGUUAAGUAGACCGCCUGGGGAGUACGGUCGCAAGAUUAAAACUCAAAUGAAUUGACGGGGGCCCGCACAAGCGGUGGAGCAUGUGGUUUAAUUCGAUGCAACGCGAAGAACCUUACCUACUCUUGACAUCCAGAGAACUUUCCAAAGAUGGAUUGGUGCCUUCGGGAACUCUGACACAGGUGCUGCAUGGCUGUCGUCAGCUCGUGUUGUGAAAUGUUGGGUUAAGUCCCGCAACGAGCGCAACCCUUAUCCUUGUUUGCCAGCGAGUAAUGUCGGAAACUCCAGGGACACUGCCGGUGAAAACCGGAAAAGGUGGACACGACGUCAAGUCAUCAUGGCCCUUACGAGUAGGGCUACACACGUGCUACAAUGGCACAUACAGAGGGCGGCCAACUUGCGAAAGUGAGCGACUCUUAAAAAGUGCGUCAUAGUCCGGAUUGGAGUCUGCAACUCGACUCCAUGAAGUCGGAUCGCUAGAAAUCGUGUAUCAAAAUGCCCCGGUGAAUACGUUCCGGGCCUGUGUACACCCGCCCGUCACCCCAUGGAGAGUGGUCUGUCAAAGAGUAAGAAGUUUAACUCUCGGAGGAACGCUAACACUAUGUAGUUUAUGACGGGGGGGGAGUACAACAGGGGGCCCAC
RNAcentral lists this ribosomal RNA (1144 nucleotides) under Vibrio sp. Its description in RNAcentral is "bacterial SSU rRNA". It matches the Rfam family "Bacterial small subunit ribosomal RNA", at positions 357 to 1503 of the family's 1533-position model. Lineage: Bacteria; Pseudomonadati; Pseudomonadota; Gammaproteobacteria; Vibrionales; Vibrionaceae. The record is from RNAcentral.